This 544-nucleotide ribosomal RNA is filed under the name uncultured bacterium. RNAcentral's name for it is "bacterial SSU rRNA". It matches the Rfam family "Bacterial small subunit ribosomal RNA", at positions 378 to 924 of the family's 1533-position model. The record is from RNAcentral.
GAACUCUGACCAGCCAUGCCGCGUGCAGGAUGACGGCCCUCGGGUUGUAAACUGCUUUUAUUGGGAAAUAAACCUACUUACCUGAAGUCGCUUGAAUGUACCGCAGGAAUAAGGAACGGCUAACUCCGUGCCAGCAGCCGCGGUAAUACGGAGGAUCCAAGCGUUAUCCGGAUUUAUUGGGUUUAAAGGGUGCGUAGGCGGACUGUUAAGUCAGGGGUGAAAGACGAUAGCUCAACUAUCAGAGUGCCCUUGAUACUGAAGAGCUUGAAUGAACUAGAGGUAGGGGAAAUGUGACAAGUAGCGGUGAAAUGCAUAGAUAUGUCACAGAACACCGAUUGCGAAGGCAGCUUACUAUGCUUUAAUUGACGCUGAGGCACGAAAGCGUGGGGAUCAAACAGGAUUAGAUACCCUGGUAGUCCACGCCCUAAACGAUGAAUACUCGCUGUUGGCGAUACACAGUUAGCGGCUAAGCGAAAGCGUUAAGUAUUCCACCUGGAGAGUACGGUGACAAGAUUGAAACUCAAAGGACUUGACGGUUGUCGGG